RNAcentral lists this ribosomal RNA (456 nucleotides) under uncultured bacterium. RNAcentral's name for it is "bacterial SSU rRNA". It matches the Rfam family "Bacterial small subunit ribosomal RNA", at positions 28 to 507 of the family's 1533-position model. The record is from RNAcentral.
GGUGAACGCUGGCGGCGUGCCUAACACAUGCAAGUCGAGCGGUGCAGUUUGAAGCUUCGGUGGAAAGCUGCAUAGCGGCGGACGGGUGAGGAAAACGUAGGAACGUGCCCCUUGGGAGUUGGAUAGCCACGGGAAACUGUGGGUAAACCGACAUAGACUCGAGAGAGUAAAGGCCGAAAGGCGCCAAGGGAGCGGCCUGCGGCCCAUCAGGUAGUUGGUAGUGUAAAGGACUACCAAGCCGACGACGGGUAGCCGGUCUGAGAGGAUGGCCGGCCACAAGGGCACUGAGAGACGGGCCCUACUCCUACGGGAGGCAGCAGUGGGGGAUUUUGGACAAUGGGCGAAAGCCUGAUCCAGCGACGCCGCGUGGAGGACGAAGCCCUUCGGGGUGUAAACUCCUUUUCUCAGGGAAAAAGGAUGAUGGUACCUGAGGAAUAAGCCCCGGCUAACUACGUG